This 64-nucleotide transfer RNA is filed under the name Cyrtodactylus sp. 1 PLW-2015. RNAcentral's name for it is "tRNA-Ala". The record is from RNAcentral. Lineage: Eukaryota; Metazoa; Chordata; Lepidosauria; Squamata; Gekkonidae.
GAGGUCUUGGCUUAAUUAAAGCGUCUGAGUUGCAGUCAGAAGAUGUGUGUUUAUACAGGCCUUC